Molecule: unclassified non-coding RNA, 330 nt
Filed under: soil metagenome
Description: partial contains 5.8S ribosomal RNA, internal transcribed spacer 2, and large subunit ribosomal RNA
Rfam family: 5.8S ribosomal RNA (bases 1-121)
Source: RNAcentral
GAUGAAGAACGUAGCGAAAUGCGAUAAGUAAUGCGAAUUGCAGAAUUUCCGUGAAUCAUCGAAUCUUUGAACGCACAUUGCGCCCCUUGGUAUUCCGAGGGGCAUGCCUGUUCGAGCGUCAUUAUAACCCCUCAAGCUCAGCUUGGUGUUGGGGCCUGCUGCACUGGCAGCCCUUAAAAUCAGUGGCGGCGCCAUCUGGCUCUAAGCGUAGUAAUUCUUCUCGCUAUGGAGUCCUGGUGGAUGCUUGCCAUCAACCCCCAAUUUUUCUAUGGUUGACCUCGGAUCAGGUAGGGAUACCCGCUGAACUUAAGCAUAUCAAUAAGCGGAGGA